UCAACGUUUGCAUACAACUCAAUACAGUUUUAUUGAAAUUCAUAUAAAGGCGUUUAUUUAUAGCUGCUUAACGUUGUGCCAAUACGAGUGCGCUAGGCAAGAAUCAAUUAAUAACUAUAAAAAAGUACUUACAUAAAAAAAAAUCAUAACUACGAGUGGGUAAAAGCAAGUUUAUGAAAUGCGCAUGCGCGCGCACCGUUCAUUCUUGUGCUUACGUAUUUGAUUUAUGGCAACAGGUGUGAAUUGAUAAAGAAAAUACUAUCGUGCAUGACAACAGUCACCGGAAUUACAGACACCAAGCGCAGCUGUUCGGCCAGAUGUGAGGCGUUCGACAGUGGCGGAGGUGUGCAUGGAGGAGGAAUGAGGAGAAAUGAUUUGCAAAAAUUGUCACUUGAGGCACUUCAACCAGACUGGCAUUUCAACCGUUUCACCUACCUACCUAGAGGGAACUGCGCAAUUUCUGGUGGAAGGUUGG
Anastrepha ludens (Mexican fruit fly) is the source of this 475-nucleotide long non-coding RNA. RefSeq lists it as uncharacterized. The record is from RefSeq and is a predicted model, not a curated record. Lineage: Eukaryota; Metazoa; Arthropoda; Insecta; Diptera; Tephritidae. The transcript has 3 exons.